Molecule: long non-coding RNA, 12563 nt
Filed under: Gossypium barbadense (sea-island cotton)
Lineage: Eukaryota; Viridiplantae; Streptophyta; Magnoliopsida; Malvales; Malvaceae
Description: long non-coding RNA (GBAR_LNC004900)
Source: RNAcentral
AAAUAAUUCCUUUGCACUAUUUUUUUUUUCCAAAAGCUAAGCUUAAAGCGUCAACCAAUGUCUGAUUAUUGAAUAAUUUUUUUGAUUAAUUAGCUAAGAACAAGAUUAAGUGGGGGCAUCCUUCAUUAGCUCUUCCCCACAUCAACUUAUUUAAAUCCCCAAAAUCUAGUGUCUGUUCCAGCUCUUUCUCCAGAUUUUUUUUCUCUCUCCAUUUUUUUUUUACCUAUAUCACUCUUCUUCGGCUUCCCUAGCUUCUUGAGGUAUAAUUUUCUUUGUAAACGGAUCCGAUUUUUUUUUUCUAAUUUUCUCAUUUUUAUUUGGUUAUUUUCUUGAUUCAGUUAAAAAAUUCGUAAUCAGAUCGUUAGGUUAUAUAUUUUGAUUUGACGUUCAUUUUAUGUUGUAUUGUUUUGCGUUUGCAUUUUCUGCUUUGAACGUGAAUGGUGAUUCGUUUUCCGUUAAGUAAUUUGUUUGUUUGACGGUUUUGAGAACUGUUAAUUCGUUUUGAUUCGGAAUUUGUCACUGAUGGCGGUGAAAAGCUUUGUUUUCGAGGUUUUUUGCGUGAAAUCCGUUUGGUUACAGAGAAAGUUAUUGUAAAAAAAAGCCAUCCGAGAAACAUUUUUCUUGUUCAAAACAUUUCUAUAAUAAACCGUUUUGACUUCUUCUUGUCAAGCUUUCUCGGCAACUUAGUUGAGAAAUGGAGUGUUUCACGCCCACUCAAUUGCUAGCAUUUUCUUUCUCUUUAUUACAACAUUUAAAAAAAUUAUUGCUAAAGGAGUUUUGUCAUUUUGGACUUUUUUUCAGGUGACAAUAAGAGGAGAGAAAGUUUAAGAUUCAAAGCAAAUUAGCUUUUGUUUCCAGGUGGUUCUUAUUAAUCUUCUUAACAUUUUCAUGUACGCUAUCUUUUUUAAUUAUUUUAUAUCCUGCCGUUGUCUGAAUAGUGUUUUAGCACUGUUCAUAUUUCUUUUUUUGUUUUGGUUGGGUCACUACAAAGCAUUAUAUGAUUACAUCAGCUUAGUUUCAAUUUAAAAAUUUGUAUUACUGACCCUCAAAAAAAAAUUGCAUUAGUGAAUGAGCUUGAGCCCUUUUAUACAUUGAGAUGCGAAAUAUAUGUCAUAGCAUACACGUUUUCAAACAGUUCUGAUCAUUUUUUGCAAGUUGGCGUUUCAUAUAAUUUCGUUAUGCUUUCACUGCUGUAGAAUCAUCAUUAUUUGGGUUUAUUAGGUAUGCAUAGUGUUAGUCCGUAGCUCUUUCAGCACAACAAUUAUGGAAAAGCACAUAAAAUAUUGUGGUAAUGUCUGUCUUUAUUGUCAUGCGAGAUGUUUCUAUACAUAUAGUUGAUGGUCAUUAAAUACUUGGUUAAAAAUUUGAACAUUUCUUAGAGAGUUUAUGAUGAAUAAAUGGUUUGUAUGCAUGAGUUUCAUGUGGAGAUUUGCUACAUGGCUACAUAUAUCUAGCGUUCAGUUCCUUUUUGCUAGCUAAAGUACAAUUCAAUGAAACUAAUCAUUUUGCUUUUCGUUGAAGUUCUGUUGAAGUAGAAGGUAGGUGAUACGAGUCACAAAAGCCCAAAUUCUUGAAGGCGAGGCCCAAUAAGCAAAUUCCCAGCCCAAUCAAGAAAUCCAUCCAUACUUAGUUGAAAAUCAGGCCAAAUUGUCAAAGUGGCCCAAGUUGUAAAGUUUUAUUUUUAUUUUUAUUUAUUUAUUUAUUUAUUUACUUAGUUUAAAUUUUUAUGUCAAUAUUCAGUCCAAGAGUCUCAGAUAAAAUGACCUUUGACCGAAUUUCCAUAUUAAAAUAAUUAGGAGUUUUUUUUUAUUUUAGUUUUCUAAUUAGAUUAGGACUAGUUAUAAGGCCUAUUUAAAGGCAUGACUGUCCACCUUGUUAAACACUUAUCAUUAUUAUUAAAAUUUCAGAUUUGUUGAGAGCAGAAUUUUCUUUGAGUUUUCUCCAAGAUUUCUCUCUUGAGUUUUCUUUAGAAGUUGUUUUAACAAUCUUGUGAUUGUGGGAGCCAUCUUCAACCUUCUUCUUGCCAUUGAUAUUCUUUGGAGGGGAGAUUAGAGCCGUUUGAAGGGAGUUGUGAGAUCUUUCGAGAUUUCAAGGCUUCUUAGGACUUAUCUUUUAAUUUCUUACUGUCAAUUCUUUCUUUAUUUCUACUUGUGCUGAAUCAUUAUCUAAUCUAUUUUCUGUUCUUAUUGUGUUUUCAGCCUUUUUCUAUCUUAAGGAAUCAGCCCAAAAAUCCCCAAUUUCUAGGGUUUUUCCAUACUCUUUUUUGGGUGAAAUUAGAUUGUCGAAAUUUGGGGAAAACUAUCUUGGUGUUCAAUUGGGCAGAAUCACAAUCUCCUUGAGGGUUUCAAGAACCCUAACACUUAUUUCUAUUCUCAAUUUGAUUCUUUGCUGAUUUGGGGAUUUUAUUUUAGAUCUGAAAAUUCAAAAAUCUAAUCUUUUAAUUUUCUGUUUCGUUUCAGAUCUAAUUGUUUAGGGUUUUCGUAGGAGUUUCUCGUGACUUGGCAACUCGAUCUUGGUCCGCGCGCAACCCCGUAUCAUUUGGUAUCAGAUUUUGGGCGUUUUGGGUGUUCUUGGUUGAUUUCUAAACUGAUCUCUAUUUUUUAAAUUACAAACAGCAGUUUUACCCAGAAAAAUUUUCGAAAAAAAUUCAUUUGAGUGGGUAAACGUUUUCUGAUUGAUCUGAAAUUUUACAUACAUAUUUUUGGCACUGUUAUUGAAUAUACAAAAAUAUUUCCCGCAAAAAAAAUAAGUCGAAAAAGUCAAAAAAUUGAAAAAAGACGAAAUCUAAUAAAAAAUUAAAAAAAUAUUCAGCGGGUUGAAUUUGGUGCCCAAAUUUUCCAGAUCAAAAAUUAAAUAUAUAAGGACACUCUAGAUUUAAUUUCGUGAUUUUUGGAGAUCGGGAACACCUCGAACGAAGUUGUCAAAUUACUCCGCAGUUUUUCGGGUUUUCUGUUUUCAGCAAUUUUUAUUGAUUCUUAGCUGUAGGUUUUCAUUUGUUUACCUUUAUUCUUCCUUUACGUUAUCUAACACCUUCUUGUUUCUUGUGUUAGUAGGAUUUAAACGUAUGCACAACUUCUUCCUCGGUGCAACACGAAUCAAUUGGUGUCUCGUCAGUUUUUGGCAUCCUAGUGCAAAUUAGGAUUCUUUGGUAGUUUGGUUCACACUCUCUAAUUGGUUGAUAUAAACUCUGAUAAAGAACUCACAAGAUUGAAUUCGACCUCAUUGAGAAUUUGAAUUUUCUUUUUGAGUGAUUAAUGGUGAGGUUUGCUAACUUUUAUUUUUGAGUGUUGAGUGUUUAUUUUUUACAGGUUUUGAAGAUGUCUAAAGGUGAUAAUAAUGAUGCACUUAUGAAAGUCCAACAACAGUUAGAUGGACAUACUGCUGCAAUCACACAAAUAAAUGCUACACUUCAAGCAUUGAAUACUACUUUGAAUGAGGUACGAGUGAAUCAAAAACAUCAAUAUCGAGAUCCAAUUAAGGAAGAUAGGGAUAACCAACCCCAAAGGCGCGGCCCUCGACGUGUCACUAGAAUGGAUGAUGAUUUUCAUGAUCGUAGACAAUCAUCUUUGGCAAAACCAAGGAGCGAGCAGCAACGAGAACAUCUCUUUCAUACUCGCUGCCAUGUACAAGGUAAGCUUUGUAGAGUUAUUAUUGAUGGUGAAAGUUGCUCGAACAUAGCCAGCACGACGAUGGUGGAAAAGCUUUGCUUAACCACUACCAAGCAUCCACAACCUUAUCAACUACAAGGGCUUAGCAACGAAGGCCAAUUUAGGGUCACUCAACAAGUGCGCAUUGCCUUUUCUAUCGGUAAGUAUCAAGACGAAGUUGUGUGCGACGUAAUGCCUAUUCAAGCCUGCCAUUUGUUGCUAGGAGAACCAUGGCAACUGGAUCGAAAAGUCACUCACGAUGGUCGUACCAAUAGGUAUUCUUUCAAGCAUCAAGGAAAGAAACUUACCUUAGUGCCGCUCACUCCGGAACAAGUCCAUGAGGACCAAAUCAAACUAAGAAAUUCUGUUAAAACAAGUGAGGAAAAAGAAAAAGAGAAUGAAAAAGAGCAAAAAGAGAUUGAGAGUGAAAAGGAAUGUGAAACAGAAAAGAAAAUUGAAAAAGAAGUUGAAGAAAGAAGAGAAAAUGAGUUAGAAAAAGAAACAAAAGAAAAAGACGAGGAAAGGCUAGUGAGGAAUGUUUCCACUAACCAAGAUAUGAAUUUUUCUUGUGUUGCUACUUUUCAGGUUCCCGAAAGAUCGAAAGAUAACUUUCAACUUCAAUACCUCUCAAAUGAAAGACGCUUUCAUACGAUCAACUUAAGCAAAGAUGAAAUCACACUACAUGAUCCCGAAGGUAAGCGAGGUAAGGAAAUUUUAGAAACCGAGUCCAUUGCAGAUUUGAAAAUUAUUGAUAAAACUUUUGGUGACUUAGUUCUUAAAAUAUCCCCUCAUUUUGAUCCGAUUAAUUGUUACUCUUCGAUUGUGGUUGAUAAAGUCAUUACGAAAAGAAGCGUGAUUUGUUAUUCUCUUGAUUUACCUUGUGUAAAAUCCUCGAAUUUGUCCAAAUCUGUUUUCGAGAAUAAGGUAACGAAAUUUUCCAAAUUUGUUUUCAAUUUAUAUUCGUGCCUUAAACAGUUUAUGUGGUUGUACAUGAAGUUUGAGUUCCAUUUGACAAAGGUUAACUCAACAACGGAGAUUCGACUACACUAUGCCCCCGAUGAGCGAAAGUUUGUUUUAAAUGAAAAAGGUAAAAUCAACCCUUAUUCUUCUGCUUAUCGAGGUAAGAUGCUUGAAACCUUUGAAACACUUUUGUACUCCUUGGAUAGUGAUAAAGAUCGUGUUGAUGAACACUUAGAUCGAAACGUGCUUGACUGUCCUAUUUUAUUUAUUGAUGAUCUAUCUGUUUUGAUGAUUGAUAAAAAGAUUCUUGUUUUUGAUAAUGCAUGUGUGAGUGAAUCUAUAGACCGUCGAUUAAUGCAUGGUAUGAUUAUGCAACUCUGUGAACCAUGUGAAUCUUUUCAAAUACCUACUUGUGACGAUUAUGUUUACCAUUUGAUUUAUUACUCGCAAUUUAUUCAUGGUUUGUGGGAACAAUGUGAGACGACUGAAUGCCUUAAAACAUGUCCAUCUUUGUUUCAAAUAUUUGACGAGGCAGUGGUGAGUAAAUUAGAUUGUUUGCAUGGUAAUCUGAAUCUGUCCAUUCACAUACGUUAUACCUGUUCUGUUAUGCUUAUGAUUGGACUACAAGCUUGUUUCCGUUGCUAUUUACUAUCUCAUGGCUAUUCUUUUCAGUGGACUCAAUUGCCAUUAGUCCCGUUCGAUAGAGGAAAGUCGAGUUCAUUUGAUUUUUCAGAUUCGAGGACGAAUCUUUUUGAGGAAGGGGGGAAUGAUACGAGUCACAAAAGCCCAAAUUCUUGAAGGCGAGGCCCAAUAAGCAAAUUCCCAGCCCAAUCAAGAAAUCCAUCCAUACUUAGUUGAAAAUCAGGCCAAAUUGUCAAAGUGGCCCAAGUUGUAAAGUUUUAUUUUUAUUUUUAUUUAUUUAUUUAUUUAUUUACUUAGUUUAAAUUUUUAUGUCAAUAUUCAGUCCAAGAGUCUCAGAUAAAAUGACCUUUGACCGAAUUUCCAUAUUAAAAUAAUUAGGAGUUUUUUUUUAUUUUAGUUUUCUAAUUAGAUUAGGACUAGUUAUAAGGCCUAUUUAAAGGCAUGACUGUCCACCUUGUUAAACACUUAUCAUUAUUAUUAAAAUUUCAGAUUUGUUGAGAGCAGAAUUUUCUUUGAGUUUUCUCCAAGAUUUCUCUCUUGAGUUUUCUUUAGAAGUUGUUUUAACAAUCUUGUGAUUGUGGGAGCCAUCUUCAACCUUCUUCUUGCCAUUGAUAUUCUUUGGAGGGGAGAUUAGAGCCGUUUGAAGGGAGUUGUGAGAUCUUUCGAGAUUUCAAGGCUUCUUAGGACUUAUCUUUUAAUUUCUUACUGUCAAUUCUUUCUUUAUUUCUACUUGUGCUGAAUCAUUAUCUAAUCUAUUUUCUGUUCUUAUUGUGUUUUCAGCCUUUUUCUAUCUUAAGGAAUCAGCCCAAAAAUCCCCAAUUUCUAGGGUUUUUCCAUACUCUUUUUUGGGUGAAAUUAGAUUGUCGAAAUUUGGGGAAAACUAUCUUGGUGUUCAAUUGGGCAGAAUCACAAUCUCCUUGAGGGUUUCAAGAACCCUAACACUUAUUUCUAUUCUCAAUUUGAUUCUUUGCUGAUUUGGGGAUUUUAUUUUAGAUCUGAAAAUUCAAAAAUCUAAUCUUUUAAUUUUCUGUUUCGUUUCAGAUCUAAUUGUUUAGGGUUUUCGUAGGAGUUUCUCGUGACUUGGCAACUCGAUCUUGGUCCGCGCGCAACCCCGUAUCAGUAGGAGUUAAAUUGAGUGCCGAAUGACAUUUUCUUUGAGCAAGUUUUGAGUUUUUUUGGUGUUUCUUUUCUGUAUUAAUUGCUGCUUAUCGCUUUUGUUGUCCUCACUUCAUUGGAGCAAGUUUUGGGUUUGUUGUCCUUGCCUUAUAGCAGUUCUUAGUUUUGUUUUAUUGCUAUUAGGUUCUGGUUAAGUAACUCAAAACUCUAUGUGAAACAUCACUUUUGAGAACUUAUCAUUUGCUAAGACUGCUAAACCUGCUGGCUCUAUUAUGGUAGAGGCAUGAUCUUAUUGGAUAGGAGAUCUUUGGAAUAUGUAAAAGAAUAGGAUAAUUCUAGAGUGUAGAGCCGGAGGGCAUGUUUCUAAGGUUUUUUUCUCUUCAACUUGCAAGUUCGAUCCUUUCCCCCAGGUUUUGUUUUGUUCUUUUAGUAACUUUGCCUGUACUUUGACUACUUUUGUUGUUGGCUAUUAUAAAUUUUUGGAGAUUUGCUUGGUUUAUGCCAAGCUUUAGUGGUUUAAGAUAUUAAUAUUAUUUAAAGUAAUACACCAUUUUAGAUAUAUUUCUCCAUUUCAUAUUUUAGAAGUUCAUACUAAUCUGUUUUAAAAAUGUUUGUAUAAUUUAUCCCAAUAUAAAAAUUAAUAAUACAUUUUUGUAAAACAAUUUUAAACCUUUAAAUUUUUUGCUAUGUUAUGAACAUGAGAGCUGAGUCACGAGACCAUUGAUGGGUAAGUCGAAGUCAAUUGUCUUCCCUUUAUCUGUAUUCUUGUAAUGAUCUAUUGUGAUUGAUAGUUCAGCCAAUCAAAGGGAGACCAAAACCUUAAGAUUCAAUAGAGAGAGACCCAGACACCUUAGGGUUUUUUUGAUAGAAAUUCUGCUUAUUAUUCCAUACGCCUCUUCAGAUAAGGACCAAUCUUAUUACAUACAUAGGAAAACCUAUUCUAAAAAGGAAAUUAAUUAAUUGAAAUAAAUUCACAAUCAAGAAACCUAAGGGAACACAUAAAAUUGCAACCCAAGACUUGAUUAGAGAAGCGAAAUUAUGGCCUUUCCUAACAUAGGUUCAACCCAUAACAUUACCCCCUCUUGCCAUGUGAGCUUAUCCUUAAGUUUGAAGUCAAGAUAACUUGACAAUAUAAAUCAACCUAGUUCAGUCUCAAUUUUAGUUUUUGGUGCUUCAUGAGUCAAAUAAGCUACUUUCAACCAAAAGGGGUAGGAAAAUUUACUGAAUUAGCUUUAAUAGUUCCCCCUAAUAUAUUGCUGCCAUCAUUACCUUGCCAAGUUCCUCUAUGGUUAUUUCUGACAUGUAGUAUUUGCUGCUUCUAUUCAAAGGCUUUAGUGAGGCUUGUAGUUAUGGCUAAAUUAGGGGGCUCGUGCAUUUGAACAUCCAAGCGAAUGGAAUCAUUUGGUCCAGCCAUGAAAAACCCAUCAUGUCAGUUUACUUGAAUGUAUUGACUAGCUCUUGCUAAUUUUUGUUGAUAUUGUUGCUGAUAAAGCUCUAAAGUUCCUGUCUAUUUCAAACUAACCAGAUCUCCCAAGGAGUUGCCGCCCAUCAGAGCACCAAAACUAAAGGAGCCAUAAUUAUAGGAUUCUUACUGGUUCAUCACAUGUCCCUCCAAUUUGAUUUAAUAAUACCAAAGUGGUGCCUCACCCAGAAUGUGGAAGGCUGCCAAACUUACCUUGUUUGCCUCAUUGGCGUGUUGGUUUUGAAAAAUUAUUCACAUCAAUGUAGCCAAAUCAAAGGAUCCUUUGAUCCAUCAAAAGUUUGAAAAUCUACUUUUGUGUACUUGGGAAUAAUUCCAAUUGAUGGAACCCUCUGCUCCCCAAGUGGUGGUGGCGCCAUGCCUCCUACAGUAGUUGGUGGGAAAUGCAUCGGUCUAGUUGGAUUGUUUUACUGCCUACAUCACCAUCCCUAGUUUUUUUGCCCAAGUAAAAAAUUAGGGUUUUGAGUUGUUCCUAGAUAUGUCGAGUUAUUUGUUGAAGGUAGAUGUUUAUACGAGUUUUUAGAUUGAUGAACUUAGCCUCCACCACAGGUUUCAAAACAAUUCUCUCUUAUAACAAUGCUCAUACAUCAUUGCCAAUGUGAUAUGCUUUGAUGCCAAAUUGUUAUGGACAUGAGAAUAGGAUUUGAGUCAUAGGGCGAUUAAUAGGGAAGUUGAAGUCAAUUGUGUUAUUAUUGUGAUUGACAUUUCAGCUCAUCAAAGGAACACAGAAACCUUAGGACCGGUAAAGAGAGACUUGAAUCUCUUUAGUUUUAUUCAUAGAAAUUUUGUUUAGGGUUUAUUAUUCUAUACAUCCCUUUAAACGAGGACCAGUUUUAUUACAUAAAUAAGAAAUUUAUUCUAAGAAGAAAUAAAUAAAUUGAUAUAAAAUCACAAUCAAGAAACUUAGGAAAGAAUUAAAAUUGCAACCUAGUCCUUAAUUAGAGAAUCAAAAUUUAUGCCCUUCCUAACAUAGGUUUGGCCCAUAACAUGCUAAUUAUAUUUUGUAUUACUAGUACUUUAAACUAUUUAAUUCUGUCAUGUAACUGAUAGUUUUUCCCAGCCUCUUUUUCACACAAUAAAGCUCAAUCAAUAUGUCUUUGCAUGUAUGUUUGUAUCUAUCAUUUUGGUUCCAAACUUUAACUAGUUAAUGCUGGUUAGAUUAGGCUUCCUUUGGUGUGUGGCUAAUAGCUUUUACUUGGAUAGUUUGCACGCUAUGCCUUGUUUAGCAUUGCUUCUCAAACCAAUCUUUCAAGCCAAACGAACUUUUUGAGUCAUUAAUAAUGCUAAAUAGUCAGCUUUUCAAACCUCACCAAAAAGUUGAAAAUUAUAGCUUUUGGCUUUUCGAAAGCUAGUUUGGGUGCCAAAAUAUAAUUUUGCAGGUUUACAAUAUUCAUUGCCUAAAAAGUAUUUAAAAUUUAUAUUUUAUAUAUUAUACUUACAAUGAAUUAUUAUAAAUUAUUUUUGUUAUACUUUCUAUUAUGAGCUAAGUUGAAUAUUUGUUCAUACCAAAAUAAUUUUAACAUGACAUUGUGGUAAUAAUAAUAAAGACAAGGGAAAGAAUGAUACUUUGCAUUUGAGUCAAUUAUUCAUUACUUAUGAAAUUUUUAUUGAUUUAUAAGAGUUAUGCUUAUAUGUUAUAUGGUUUAUACAUUAGAAAAUUUAUUAACAAUUAAUAUUAAUUGCUUAAAUGUAUUAAUUACUUAAAUGUAUUAAUUAUUGAUAUUUCAUACAUCAUAAUAUUAACAAUUUUGAAUACCAUUUAAAUUAACUUAUUUUUUACUUUACAACAUCAUGUCUAAAAUGAAUAUUUUUACUUUUUACUUCUUUAUAGCAAUGCCGAACAUUUGAAAUCGUGUAUCACACUUUUCAAAAGCUAAGUCAUUAUUCAUAUGUGGAAUCAAAAUCUUGAAAUCAUUUAACCCUCCCCAAUCAAGAAAUAGAAGUCAUGGGUCAUUGAUAUUAUUGCUUGUUCUAAAAUUCCAAGCAAAAAUCUCAAAAUGUACUCCUUAUUUGAUUGAGGAAAAAAUAUAAGGAAAAUAACAAUUUUGUGGGGUAGAGAUGAACACUACGAUAAUGAGAUUGAAAUGAUCUAAGUAAUUCAUCAUAAGAAGUGUUCUUGGUGACAAAAUAUAAUAAAUGCUUUAAAAAUGUAAGUGACUAAUUUACAACUUCAAAUCAUUUAAUCUAUAAAAGAUAUAAAUAUCAAGCUGUUAAGUUUCAACAUGCACGACCUAUGCUGAAUUUUCCUCUUCAGGCCCUUUGGUUAGUCCUACCUCAAAUAGAGCCAAAACACAUUUAAUGUCAAUAUGUUGGAAAACUUACCUUACUGCUUUAAGAGUUCAGUCCUAAUUCAUGUUUUCAGGUGCAUUGAGCCUUUGUGAGAGGGUGAUGUGCAUAUUAUUAAUGUCUGUUUUUUUUUAUGUGCAUAUUAUUAAUGUCUGUUUUUCUUUCUUUUGUUAAUUAAUGUAAUGAUAUGAGUUCAUUUCUCUGUUUUUUCUCCUUUUAGCUUAUUUCUUGUUUGCUUUCUUCCUUUUCCUUUAUUAUUGUGCUUGAUUAUGUUUCUUGAUGAAUAACUAGGCUUUGGUUGCAUGAAGACUUAAUGUUCCAAAUGCUAUUUUGAGGUGUAUGUUAGAUAUGUCCAAUAUGCAUCUAAGUUCUAGUUUGCUGUUGUUAUACUUGCAUUUUUACAAUUCAAAGUCAGGUUAUUUUGAUAGUCAAUCAUUGUUCUAUGGCAUUUCUUUCCUACAUGUUACAUCCCUCCUUUUCCGUUGGAUCAACAUUUGAAUAUAACUAAGCUUAAUUGCAAGGCACCUGUCUAAGUUCUAUUUUGCUCUUAUUAUAUUUGCAUUUAUUUUACAAUUGGAAGUCAGGUUAUUUUGAUGGUCCAUAAUUGUUUUAUAGUGUUUCUUCUCAACAUGUUGCAACCCUCCUCUUUUUUCCGGGCUUGGGACCGGCUGUAAUUGCAGCUAUAAGCAUCUUGUGCUACCACAGGCAGAGUUAUUGCAACAUAUGCAUAUAGUUUCUUGUUAAAUACACUGUUUCCUUGCUCUGUGAGCUAUAUUUUAUGACAUUUGGGUUGUGAACCUUCUUGGGAUGCUUGCAUGCUGUCCAAUUUAUUGUAGUGUCCUGAGACUUUCUGAAAGUGAAUGUAGCCUGAAGUUAAGUUACUUUUACGGCCCAAAGUCUCAAUUGUAACUGUAUAUACUGGUUAUGUUAAUCCAAGCUCUUUUUUUUUUUUUUUUUUAUUGGGGGGGGGGGAGUGACUGUCCCAGGUCUUAAGCCAUGUAGGUUAUAUUUGUGCAUCUUCUAGUUAGGCAGUCAACUAGAAACACGAAUUGUAACUGCAUGUGCUGGUUAUGUCAGUCAAAGCUAUUCUCGGGGGUGGGUGGACUGUCCUAGGUCUUAAAGCCAUGUAGGCUAUACUUGUGAAUUUUCUAUUGAGCAGUAAACUAGAAACACGAUCCGAUGGUUUUAACAUUUUGAAAUUGUACUGCCAUCAUAUGUAUAUGCUAUGUUUAAGUCUCUCAAUAUUGGUUUGUAUUAACUAAUCGUGUUAUAUAUUAAAUACCAAAGAAACUCGUUUUUACCUUCUGUUCAUAUAGUAUUGUAAUGUAUUAUAAGGCGGCUAUUUUCUUUAGUUACCUUGAACUGGUAUUCUAAAACUUUUAUAUUAUUAUUCUUUUGGUAUUGCAGGUCAUGUUAUCAGCUUUCUGUCUACAAUGUAAUGAAUGAGAAAACGUAGGACUCUAUAAGAAGGUAAACCUAAUAAAAAAAAAUGAAUUACAUAAGAAGGUAUAAAUAUAAUUGAAAAUUGAGUUGUAGUAAAACUUGAAUGAAUUUACUCUUUUAAGGAUCUUGUUGGUGAUGCUUCCAUAUUUCGAAUUUUUUUGUAGCUUCACCAAUCUAAAUAUUAACAUUUUUCUGAACCACCGUGUUGCUGUCAUAGAAGUUUCGAAAGAUGAAGCUUUUUCAUUUCAAAUUAACAAAAACAAGUGUGUAAUUACGAUAUUCAUUUCAGUCAUCUUUGAAACUUCAAAAAAGUUAAUGCUGGUUUCUCCUUCUUAUAUAUAUAUAUUUAUUUAUUAGCUUAAAUUAUCUUUACAUAACUAGAUGGUUUUCUUGAUCAUCACACACAUGCUAAAGUUCAUUUGUUUAAACAUUUCAAACCAAUGUUUGCUGAAUGAUUGGUGGUUUUAACAUACCACAUCUUACUAUGAGAAGCAUAACUUUGGAACCAUGAGAUAUUUGUUGAUAGAAGUUGAGUGACAUCCAAUCCCAUUUCUGUACAUCUGCUUUUGCUACUGCAAUUGCAGUCUGCUGCAGUUACCAUGAAAAAAAGGUGUACAUCAAAUUGGGGCAAAGAAAUCUGCAUUAAAUCAAAAUCUAACAUAUAGAGUGGGAUGUACCCCAAGUUUGUAGCUCUUGUUGGUGUUUCAUAGCUUUGUUGCUGUGGCUGGCACAGCUGGAGACAAACUGGAACUUGUGAAUCCUCUCCAAUGCCUAAACCAUUUGUAAGAAGGGAGUCUUUGUUUGCACCAUCGACAUCCCUUGUUCCAUAAACCUGGAUGUGUUAAACUUUGAUUUUGAGGUUGGUUUUAGAAAUUCUUAUAACAGGCAAAGGUUUAAUGGUUGAAUCUUUUUAAUGUUUCUAGUAUAUUGGGAUUGUUAUGAUCCAUUAAUACCUUCUUAUAUAAUUCAUUGUUUUCUUGACGAAUUAG